AACGUAGGAUCCGAGCGUUAUCCGAAUUUACUGGGCGUAAAGCGCGUGCAGGCGGCUGGGUAAGUUGGGUGUGAAAUCUCCUGGCUCAACUGGGAGAGGACGCUCAAGACUGCUUGGCUCGAGGACGGUAGAGGGAGGUGGAAUUCCCGGUGUAGUGGUGAAAUGCGUAGAUAUCGGGAGGAACACCAGUGGCGAAGGCGGCCUCCUGGACCGUUCCUGACGCUCAGACGCGAAAGCUAGGGGAGCGAACGGGAUUAGAAACCCCCGUAGUCC
This 273-nucleotide ribosomal RNA is filed under the name uncultured bacterium. Its description in RNAcentral is "partial 16S ribosomal RNA". It matches the Rfam family "Bacterial small subunit ribosomal RNA", at positions 524 to 796 of the family's 1533-position model. The record is from RNAcentral.